Long non-coding RNA from Oncorhynchus gorbuscha (pink salmon), 1655 nucleotides. RefSeq lists it as uncharacterized. The transcript is spliced from 2 exons. The record is from RefSeq and is a predicted model, not a curated record. Lineage: Eukaryota; Metazoa; Chordata; Actinopteri; Salmoniformes; Salmonidae.
AAAUCCAGCUUACCAUCUUGCCGCUGUGGGAGUAAUUCCCCCCACCGGUUCUUGGGUAUUUGAUUGCCGUUUUGAAAGCGAACAUUGCCUUGUUUGUUUUUGACGAAGCUCGGAGCGUGUGUGAGCGGUACGGAUCGGAAACAUGAAGUGAAGAAACCAAGGGUUCUGCCUGGGAAAUCGCCUGUGCAUAAUGAGACGACCUGCUCUGCCAUUCUCAAUGCUUCGACGCAGUUGGUUCCAGCGUGCGUAUUAUUUUAACAUUGAUACAUAUGUAAAAGGUAAAGGGUGGGGAUAGUGUAUCAUUACACCGUUUUCAACCAUCCCGCAACCAUUCUACAACCAUUCUCAAUAUGACAAAGCACCUUCAAUGUAUCCAGGCAUGUCUAUAUUUAUUUAUAGACCACUCAGGCUUUUAUGUGCUCUUUAGUAGAGCUCAUACUCUUUGGCCCAUUUUUGCAUUAAAUUCGAUGGGGGAAUUCUUUUCAGUCUCCGAAAUGUGGACAAUUUCACUCAUAUUGUCGGACUGUCUUCUUUGUUGCAUUUUUUUCAUUGAAAAUACUCCGAAUAAAUGUAUGUUAACUGGCUAAAUGUAUCAUUAGGAUUAAUUAUGUUAUUUUAAUGUUAAGUGAGACAAACCUUGGUUGUAAAUGUCAAAUAAAAGUCUGAAUUCUGAGUUCCCAUGAAUCUCAGUGCCAUAAUGUUGUACAAUUGGACCAAAUAAACCAAGAAAUGCCAUAGCCAUGUCUCAUUGUCUCAAUGUCAUGCUGUCCAUAUUGUGUUAUAUGUCGCUCUGGAUAAGAGCGUCUGCUAAAUGACUUAAAUGUAAUGUAAAUGUAAAUAUUUGUAGAAUGUCAAUGACGCCACACAUUCAUUUAGUCAUUAUCUGGUGACAGUUGGUAAAUAUUAUGUAAACUAUUAAAUGAAUGAUUCUGUUUUCAUAUACAACAUAUCUGUCUUCAUAUUGGGUCUACCAUGUUUAAGUAUCAAGGUGAAGGGCAUAUGGAGAGCAAUGGACAAACACAAUGAAGUCACAGGGCCUAUGGAGAGCAAUGGACAAACACAAUGAAGUCACAGGGCCUAUGGAGAGCAAUGGACAAACACAAUGAAGUCACAGGGCCUAUGGAGAGCAAUGGACAAACACAAUGAAGUCACAGGGCCUAUGGAGAGCAAUGGACAAACACAAUGAAGUCACAGGGCCUAUGGAGAGCAAUGGACAAACACAAUGAAGUCACACCAAAACAUCGGAAUAACUAAGAAAGCCAGUAACUUUACUGAAUUCUCUGCAAAAUACAAAUACCUUUCCCCAGCAGAAUAAACUUUUAUUUCACGUUCCAUGCUUUUUCACUACAUACAGGUGAAUCAAGUCCCGAGAGAUACAGAGAUGUGGUUUUAAUUGAAUAACAUCGUAUCUUCAAGUUGCGACAAAGGCCAGCUUAUGCCGCUGAAAGCCGCUCUUGCGUUCCAAACACUAAUUUCAGACAGCCACAAUUUUCAGAUUUAUACAAGCUACAUGAGAUACUACAGACUGGUAAGUAUUUUUAGCUAUUCACACACACACACACACACACACACACACACACACACACACACACACACACACACACACACACACACACACACACACACACACACACACACACACACACACACACACA